CUGUCGAGCUAUGCGCUGAUCUUCCUUCACUGUUCACCGUAUCGUUGCCGAGCCAGUCGCCUGUUAGUUUCGUCUGAGCCACUCUUCUCCAACAAGCCGACGCCGUUGGAUCUCUUCAGCCCAGACCACUCACCACCCUCGGACGUCUUCGGCUCCUUCUCGUUGGAUUUUGUUUUGAUUUCGCCGGAAUCCUUGAUUUUGGAUUUUGGAGUCAAAGCUUGGAAGUGACAGUUGAUCAAGUUUGCUUUGGGUUCUAGUUCACACUCUUUACUUUAUCAUCAAUUGCUUGUUUGUAGAAUAAUGUAUUUAGAUUUAAUUCUGAGGUAAGUAAUCUUACUACUGGAAUCGCUUUUGUGUUGAUAAAUCUAUGAUUUAUGUUGAGGGGUGUAAGAAUAGUUACAAGGAUAAUUUUGAUUGUUUUGAGAUUGAAUGAAA
Benincasa hispida (wax gourd) is the source of this 435-nucleotide non-coding RNA. NCBI's taxonomy places the organism in Eukaryota, Viridiplantae, Streptophyta, Magnoliopsida, Cucurbitales, Cucurbitaceae. The record is from RefSeq and is a predicted model, not a curated record.